This is an RNA transcript of Carassius gibelio (silver crucian carp), 1466 nucleotides long. It is a transcript of the gene named sodium/hydrogen exchanger 8, with no coding region annotated. Lineage: Eukaryota; Metazoa; Chordata; Actinopteri; Cypriniformes; Cyprinidae. The record is from RefSeq and is a predicted model, not a curated record. The transcript has 8 exons.
GUAUGUAAUGAUGACGAGAAUGUACUCUACGAAACAUGGAUUGUGGCGACAUGAGUUUAUUUUGCGCUUUUUCCCGUCUAAUGUCUAAUGAUUAUUUGUGUUUGUGAACACGAUGAGUUUCUGGAAUCGCGCUGUUGUGCUCGCGGUGUUGUCAGUUAUAUUGACGGCUGAUCUCGGGCGGUUUGCGGCAGCAGAUGAUCAGACAAACAGUAAAAGCGAUGAAAACUCUGACAGUAAUAGAGCUGUCAGUGAUGUAGAGGAUCAGAAUACUGCUGAUGGACAGCUGUUCAGGUAUCUGUAUUAUAUUGGUGCACAUGCUGAUCAAAUUCAAGCUUCACUCUUUGCCUGAGAGUGUGGCUGUGGUUUCGCUCGGAAUUCUGAUGGGCGCGUUCAUCAAGAUCAUCGAGUCACAGCAGUUGGCCAACUGGAAGGAAGAAGAGAUGUUUCGUCCCAAUAUGUUUUUCCUAUUACUUUUACCGCCAAUCAUUUUUGAGUCUGGAUACUCAUUACAUAAGGGUAAUUUUUUCCAAAACAUAGGCUCGAUCACAUUAUUUGCCGUUUUUAGGACAACGAUCUCAGCCUUCAUCGUGGGAGGAGGAAUCUAUUUCCUGGGACAGCCCUACUUUUGAAGCUGAAAUAAUGAAUUGGUCAAACUUGGACUUGGAAUAACGAGAGGAAUAACACGGAUAACUUUCUUGUCUGAGGAUUGUAAUGCAUCACAGGCAGUCAGGUACAAGGAAGAGAGACUAUGGCUACUUAAAUUAGGUUUCGGGGGGUGAUCCCGUAUGCCCUCAGUCUUCAUCUGGGUCUGGAGCCCAAAGAGAAGCGGCAGCUGAUCGGCACCACCACCAUAGUCAUCGUGCUCUUCACCAUCCUGCUACUGGGGGGUGGGACCAUGCCCCUCAUCCGCAUCAUGGACAUUGAGGAGAGCCAAUCACGGCACAAGAACAAAAAAUAUAUAAACUUGAGCAAAACUGAGAAAAUGGGUAAUGCCAUUGAAUCUGAACACAUUUGUCGGAGCUGACAGAGGAAGAGGCCAAGUAUCUGAACCCUUUCUUCACCCGUAGACUCACACAAGAUUGCAGAUUAGUCCAGUUAAAUGUAGAAAAAAAAAAAAAUCUGUCGUUCUUCCUCUCUAAGGAUCUGCUGCAUGGGCGGAUUCAGAUGAAAACCCUCACUAAUAAGUGGUAUGAGGAGGUGCGGCAGGGUCCAUCAGGCUCAGACCCAGACGAGCCCAAUAUCCGGACUCUACUGCACUAUGAUGGACUCGCAAAGAACUCCAUGAUUGGAGAUCUUCAAAGCUAAAUGAGGAAAAGAAUAGGAGUAUGUGGUACAAAAAGAGUUUAUAAUUCAUUCUAAUGAAAUUGUGAAUGAAGAAAUUCUGUCUGUGCAUAAUUAAUGUGUUGUUUUGCACAAAGCUGUAGUGGGAAAGUGGCAAAAAACAUGAAUAAAUGAUGGAUUAUGAA